Molecule: ribosomal RNA, 229 nt
Filed under: uncultured bacterium
Lineage: Bacteria
Description: partial 16S ribosomal RNA
Rfam family: Bacterial small subunit ribosomal RNA
Source: RNAcentral
UCCGUAGGUGGAUCAAUCAGUCAGAGGUGAAAUCCUGCAGCUUAACUGUAGAACUGCCUUUGAUACUGUUGAUCUUGAGUCAUUAUGAAGUGGUUAGAAUGUGUAGUGUAGCGGUGAAAUGCAUAGAUAUUACACAGAAUACCGAUUGCGAAGGCGUCUAGCUAGAACGGGUCUGACGGUGAGGGACGAAGCCCUGGGGCACAAACCGGAUUAGAUACCCCAGUAGUCC